ACAGAGUACCAGUGAGCUGCUUUCUUUGGUCAGCAAACCCCCCGGCUCUGUGGAGGAUGGAGAAGAGGUUGAUCAGGCUGCUGGAAGCCCUAGCAUUUAUAGUAGGAGUCCUGUUAGAGCUCCUCUUGGCGUCCCUUUGAACACUAAAGGGGCACGAAAAGUACUGUGUAAUCGCUUGGCAUCUUCUUAUCGUAUGGGGACA
Molecule: unclassified non-coding RNA, 202 nt
Filed under: Hevea brasiliensis (rubber tree)
Lineage: Eukaryota; Viridiplantae; Streptophyta; Magnoliopsida; Malpighiales; Euphorbiaceae
Source: RNAcentral